CAUCUUUGAAUAACAUAAAUAGUACUUAAGUACUAUAGAGUUUAACACUCCCUCAAAGCUA
This 61-nucleotide transfer RNA is filed under the name Dasyurus hallucatus (northern quoll). Its description in RNAcentral is "tRNA-Lys". The record is from RNAcentral. Lineage: Eukaryota; Metazoa; Chordata; Mammalia; Dasyuromorphia; Dasyuridae.